RNAcentral lists this ribosomal RNA (349 nucleotides) under uncultured bacterium. RNAcentral describes it as "bacterial SSU rRNA". It matches the Rfam family "Bacterial small subunit ribosomal RNA", at positions 71 to 422 of the family's 1533-position model. The record is from RNAcentral.
CAGGUGUAGCAAUACAUGCUGACGAGCGGCGGACGGGUGAGUAACGCUUGGGAAUCUGCCUAUUAGUGGGGGACAACCCGGGGAAACUCGGGCUAAUACCGCAUACGCACUACGGUGGAAAGCCGGGGACCGCAAGGCCUGGCGCUAAUAGAUGAGCCCAAGUCGGAUUAGCUAGUUGGUGGGGUAAAGGCCUACCAAGGCGACGAUCCGUAACUGGUCUGAGAGGACGACCAGUCACACCGGAACUGAGACACGGUCCGGACUCCUACGGGAGGCAGCAGUGGGGAAUAUUGGACAAUGGGCGAAAGCCUGAUCCAGCGACGCCGCGUGGGUGAAGAAGGCCUGCGGG